GCCCCGUUGCGUCACUGCCGACGUCAAACCCUGCCCUCGCGCCCCUCAGCCCGGCGGGGAAGGGAGCGGAAGGGGGGGGAAGCACCGAACUACAUCUCCCAUGACCGCCGUGGCCUGCGGGGGCCUCGGCAGCGGCGAUGGCGGGGCUGGCAGGGGCCGCCUGCACAGCGGGCGCCCCAGGCUCCAGGGUGGCCCGCGCGGGCCCGUUCCUGAGGGAGGCGAGGCGCGGCCCCUCACACCACCGGCCCCCCUUUCUCCGCGCCCGGCGGCUAAAAAUACUCCCCACAGGUAGCAACGCCGGGCGAUUGGCUGCCCGCCCCGGCGGCCGCCGCUGAUUGGCCAGCGGGGCCGGGGGGCGGAGCCAGGCCGGGUUUUGGGGGGAACGGGAGCGGCCCAUGGGGGGGAGGCGGUUUCCCCUCAGCGCCGGCGGGGCCCGAGGUGGGGGCUCCAGGGACACAUGGGAUGGGAUGGGAUGGGAUGGAGUGGGUCCGUUUGGGAUGCGGCCCAUCCCGGCGUUCCUUAAAACAUCCCCGGGUUUGCUCUUUAAACACCCCUCGGGGUGUUCAGGGUUGGCGCUGGGGCGGUUUCUCUCACGCCGCCAGCAGGACCCGGUUCUGGAGGACAAGUUGGGAAGGGGUUUGUUUUUGUAUUUUUUUUAAAUUCUCCGCCUCUUGCUCUGUUUGUAUAAUAAUAAAGCGUUUUGGCAUAAGCGCUACGUGGGCCCCGGGAGAGAUUUGGACAUGCUGGGACUUUAACCCUUUGAAGCUGAGAAUGUAUUUGAAAAUGGGAGGCAGUACCCAAAAGCUGAAAUAUUAAGGGAAAGAAGAGGCUUUCCCAUCCACAGCUUACUUCUGAUGGAAGGCUUAAUUCACUGUAAAACAUAGUUUUUAUUCAGACGUAUCAAUGUUGAUGCUACGGGGAUUGCAGUAUUGCAAACAACUUGAAUAUCUUGAUUAAGACUCAAAAUAUUUACAAUUUAUCCCUGUAUUUCUCACCCAUUUUUAAAUCUUGAGGGUUGCACAUGCCUUCAAUGAAAACUGGGUCACUUGUCUCUGUGCACCCCAAAGGGAAAAUGAAAUAUGAAGAUUAUUACAUUACAAGCACUGGCAACUGGGAGACUACUGGGAACUGCUGUAGCAUCUCUGGGAAUCUGAAAGAAAGCCCUGGGUAUUUGUUUUGAUCAGAAAGAGUCAAAGUGAAACAACUCCCUAAACAGAGAAGGUGAAAAGACAAAUAGAGGGGGUUGUUUUGUUUUGUUUUUGUUUUGAUAUUAGAGCUCAGGAGUCUCUGUAGAACAACAAACACACAUUGGCAGGUGACAUCAGCCACCGGUGGUGGUUCAGCUCUCGCUGCACUCAGUUCUGGGGUGGCAGCAGUAGAUUUCCCUUUGAAGUGGGAACAACUGCACAGCGCUGCAGAUCAGUGUUUUCAGGCCAACAUCAGUAAAAGGAACUGAUCUGCAGGAGAUUAGAGCUCAGAGCUCACAAGAACAUCACUCUCCUAAGUGGAAUGCUAUCUAUAUAAUAGCUUACCUGGAAAAAGUUGAUGGAGUUCUGAGCAAGACACAGAAAGCAGCUGCUGGGUAAGAAGGAGAAAUAAAACCAGGAGAAAUAAAGAUUUUGCACCAAA
Molecule: long non-coding RNA, 1629 nt
Organism: Corvus hawaiiensis (hawaiian crow)
Lineage: Eukaryota; Metazoa; Chordata; Aves; Passeriformes; Corvidae
Exons: 2
Source: RefSeq, a predicted model, not a curated record